RNAcentral lists this long non-coding RNA (1580 nucleotides) under Homo sapiens (human). Its description in RNAcentral is "non-protein coding TBX2-AS1:24". The record is from RNAcentral. Lineage: Eukaryota; Metazoa; Chordata; Mammalia; Primates; Hominidae.
AGAUGCGCGGCGGGCGGGUGCGGGCCCAGUGCCGAGACGUGCAGCCCCGCCUCGGCCGCUGCUGCCGCCGCCGCCGCCGCGGCCGCCGCCCCCGCCAGGCCCGGGUCGGGCAGCGGCUUGGCCAGCGCGCCGGGCGGCAGCGCGAGUGCCGGGAAGAAGGAGGGCUGCGCCGCCGCCAGAAAGGCGGACAUGGGGAAGUCGGCGGGCCGUGGCGCGUGGAACGGGUGGUAAGCCAUGGCGCUGGCCGCCAGCGCCGGCUCUCUCAUCGGGACAUCCGGCCCAGGCGCCCGGGGGCCGGGGCCGGGGCCGGGGGCGCGCGGCUCGGACCCCCGGCCCGGGCGGCGGCGCGCGCGGUGGACGGACGACCCGGGUGGCGGGCGCAGCAGCUGCUCCUCGGGGCUUCCCGUCCGGCGCACCGCAAGGGGCACCCGGCUCUGUGCGCGGGGGCGGCGGGGGCUCUGCGCGGGGCCGGGCUGGGCCGGGCUGAGCUGGCCCGCUCCGGCGCCGGGGACCACGCGCGACUGGUUAGAUCUUGUCGUGAUCUCUGGAAAACUGUGACUAUCUCACAUGUCCUGCCCAGCUCGGAUCCCCUGCGCUAACGAGCCAGGCCCCCCUUGAUUGCUGAUUUUACGCUUUUUGGACCAAUUGUGGGUCUCCGGGGGCGGGGUUUUGACAGCUCAGGCCAAGCUCCGGCCGGGAGGGGGGGCCUGGGAGAAGGUGUCGGAAGCCUCAGCAGUAAGAAAACAUGUCAACAGAAUAAAAUAUUAACCAAUGACGGGCCGCCGGGCCCCGAGACCCCUCCUCCUGCCCCGGCCCCCACCGCCCGCCCGCGCCUGCGGCUGCCUGCGCCGGACUGGAGAGCGCGGAGGGCCGACCUGACCCGCCGAAAGGGCCUGAGGCGAGGGGAGCCCGGGUCCCGGGGCCUUGGGGAAGGACCCGCAGCCGCACGCCGGCCCCAAGUGCAAAGCAUUGACACGACCCCGAGCGGAGAGGGGGCGCCCUCCUUCUCCCGCGCCCAGAGGCCCGGCCGCUCUGGCCCGAGCCCCAGCCUGGCCUCCGACCCAGCUCCGGGUCGUGGCGCCGCCUGGGGGUCCCUGCGCCCCGGAAAGAGACAGCAGGCACUGGAAAGCGAGGCCGGUGGGCGGGCGAGUCGGGAGGCUCGGGCGGCCGAGGUCCGGGAGCGGAUCCCAGGUGGCGGGAGCUGGUGCCCUGGCAGGAGGGACUGGCUUAUGCCACCCUGUGCAGGAUCGUCUUCUCAGCUUACAGAGCCUAGUGUGAUUCAACAACCCUCCAUCUCUGCCCCCAACAUGCCCAACUGAUCUGGUGGAGGGAACUGAAGAUGAAGGCCUCUCAGGCACCAUGGAUGGGAUGGGUGUGUGUGAAGGGGGCAGGGUCCCCAGGAGCUGCCCCAGGUCUGGCUGGACAGUUGCACGGGAAGUCCUGUUUGUGAACUCAACGUUUCCACGGCUUUUCCAUUAAACUUUACCCCAAAUCACACCUGGCUCUGUGGGUUUCCUUCCAUUCUCCAAGGCCUCCCUGGGGUCUCUGGGAAGUGUGGGCCAGGGAAGGGGGCAAAGGAC